AUUGAACGCUGGCGGCAGGCCUAACACAUGCAAGUCGAACGGUAACAGGAAGCAGCUUGCUGCUUUGCUGACGAGUGGCGGACGGGUGAGUAAUGUCUGGGAAACUGCCCGAUGGAGGGGGAUAACUACUGGAAACGGUAGCUAAUACCGCAUAACGUCGCAAGACCAAAGAGGGGGACCUUAGGGCCUCUUGCCAUCGGAUGUGCCCAGAUGGGAUUAGCUAGUAGGUGGGGUAACGGCUCACCUAGGCGACGAUCCCUAGCUGGUCUGAGAGGAUGACCAGCCACACUGGAACUGAGACACGGUCCAGACUCCUACGGGAGGCAGCAGUGGGGAAUAUUGCACAAUGGGCGCAAGCCUGAUGCAGCCAUGCCGCGUGUAUGAAGAAGGCCUUCGAGUUGUAAAGUACUUUCAGCGGGGAGGAAGGGAGUAAAGUUAAUACCUUUGCUCAUUGACGUUACCCGCAGAAGAAGCACCGGCUAACUCCGU
RNAcentral lists this ribosomal RNA (489 nucleotides) under uncultured bacterium. RNAcentral describes it as "partial 16S ribosomal RNA". It matches the Rfam family "Bacterial small subunit ribosomal RNA", at positions 30 to 506 of the family's 1533-position model. The record is from RNAcentral.